AUUCACACUGUGCAGUCAAGGUAAAAUCUUGAUGUGGUAGUAAUCAACAAUAUUUUGUAGGAAGAUGGGAAUGUAAUUCAGCAGUUAUAUUUGGAGCAGCUGUUGUUCAGCUGUUGGACAGAGGCACUGGAAAAAAGUAGACACAACCAAGGAGAUUGCCUAGUAGUAGCUAUUGUUGUUCUAGACUCUGAACUAUGUGGGAUGAAGAACCGCCUCCAUAUGUAUGUAGCCGACUUCUGAGCAUCAAGUGUACCUUACUGAUGGAAAAUGUUCUGGAGAGAAACACAGCCAUAAUUUUAAUAUUUCUCCACUAUUAACAAGGCAUUAGGCAUUCCCAGUUGUUGCCAGUUCUACAUCAGCCUUCAUCAUCCUGGCCUACAUCUCUGUCACAGAUAUGAGUCAUAACAUCAUGACCGAUGGUCCUGUGGUAUGAGCAGUAAAGGAGCAUCCCUGAGCAGACUGAGGGAUGUUGGGCACUGGUCCACCCAGGUGAGAUGUGUUAAGUCAUUAAGCAGUGACUGAUGUGAGCCUGGAUUUCAGCUUCUGCUCCUUCUGUUUUUAACAAAGUUGUUAAUUUUAAUGAGUUUUAUAUAUAUAUAAAAAAAUCAGCUUCACAAAUAUUGUGUAAGCCUGA
This 634-nucleotide long non-coding RNA is filed under the name Anser brachyrhynchus (Pink-footed goose). RNAcentral's name for it is "lncRNA (ENSABRG00000019839.1)". Lineage: Eukaryota; Metazoa; Chordata; Aves; Anseriformes; Anatidae. The record is from RNAcentral.